UUUUGGUCCGGCAGGGCAGCAGCAUCCACGGAGCAGAAAUUGACAUCCUGUCAUAAUUCCUUUAAUCCUGAGUGUAUAAGUACCGUGUGCGUCCUUAAGAUAUCGAGGCUCUGAAACUCUUCUCUCAGGCUGAACUGGUUUCCUGGUUCCUGGAACACAGAAACAGCAGCAGAAAACUCAGCGUCCACGUGGUCGGUUUCGGCGUGGAGGAGAACGACCCGUCAGACCAGAGCGUCCCCUGCCCCUCAGACGGCACCGACAACCCCCCGUCGUCCAUGUACGGCGAAGUCAGCGAGCUGAGCUUCCUGCCGGCCUGGACGCUGCAGCUGCAGGACGCCGCGCUCAUCACCGACAUCAGAGCCUUCACGGCGUCGCUGCCGCUCCACCCCUACCACGAGAUCCUGCACUAGGUCGGCGUCAGCGGAGCCCCGCCUCCGUCUGGGAUGAUGCUGUAACUGUGGCGACCGCUGGCAACAACAUCCACACUGUGUGAUUAGAGAAGAGGCAAGGUUUUGUUUUGUUUUGUUUUGUUUUUGUGAUGCUGUGUUCACAACCAGCGGGAAAAAACUGAAAAAGACAUGAAGAUGAGGCUUCGAUUCAGUGUUCUGCCCCUUUAACAAAAUACUUGUGCAUUUACGGUCGUAUUUACAAAAAAAGAGAAAAAAAAAUUCUUCUCUAAUUUCUCAUUUUCUUUAACCUAACAGCCAAGCACUUAAAGAAGAAAAAGUCAGCAAAAAAGAUUAAAAUAAGUAUAAUAAACAAAAGUAACAUUAAAUCAGAUUGUAAAAGCAUGAAAAGAGACAGGAUUGAAGCAGCGCUCUGACCUUAA
Molecule: long non-coding RNA, 829 nt
Organism: Sphaeramia orbicularis (orbiculate cardinalfish)
Lineage: Eukaryota; Metazoa; Chordata; Actinopteri; Kurtiformes; Apogonidae
Exons: 3
Source: RefSeq, a predicted model, not a curated record